AAAAAAAGUGUGGGAUUUCAAGGAAUUAAGCUAAUAAAGGUGGUGAAUCCUCCGAUAAAGGCAAGGAAAUUGUAUCUGAGGAUCGGUAGUCAGAGUACUCUAGAAAUUCGACUCCCGAAAUAGUUCAGAUUAGGUUGUAGAUAGCUGAGUUCAUCGAGGACUACCCUUGGAUUUGCAUUCCUUCAAAUUGUAAGUUCACAGUCCUCUUUACUUUUGC
RNAcentral lists this small RNA (217 nucleotides) under Theobroma cacao (cacao). Its description in RNAcentral is "sRNA Tc09v2_g019820". The record is from RNAcentral. Lineage: Eukaryota; Viridiplantae; Streptophyta; Magnoliopsida; Malvales; Malvaceae.